CUCUGCAGCCCCUGGACUCGGCCGCGCGGCGUGUCUUUGUUAAAGGAGAGACCCCAGCCCCAGCAAGAACAGGAAACUGGAGAUUGAAUCAGAUGCCGAGCGCUCAGAAACUGAAACUUAAGAAAUCGAAACUAAACGUAAGCUUCAGAAACCGAAACUUAAUAGAAGAGCUCAAGAGCCGCGGCCAGACGUUUGCGGAGUCCAGGGUCUUUCGGAGUUGAAUUUGCAGCUGGGCUCCUUCACUUUGGUCUCGGCUUUUAUCUGCCUCCCUGAUAGGUUUUUGGUCUUGGUGACUUCAAGAAUGAAGCUGCGGACUCUCGCUGUGAGUGCUACAGUUGUUAAAGAUGGCGUGUCUGGAGUUUGUUCCUUUCGAUGUUCAGAUGUGUCUGGAGUUUCUUCCUUCUGGUGAGUUCGUGGUCUUGCUGACUUCAGGAGUGCAGCUGCAGACCUUCACAGUGAGUGUUACAG
This 468-nucleotide long non-coding RNA is filed under the name Homo sapiens (human). RNAcentral describes it as "HSALNT0359182". The record is from RNAcentral. Lineage: Eukaryota; Metazoa; Chordata; Mammalia; Primates; Hominidae.